Pogona vitticeps (central bearded dragon) is the source of this 2616-nucleotide long non-coding RNA. The record is from Ensembl. Lineage: Eukaryota; Metazoa; Chordata; Lepidosauria; Squamata; Agamidae.
CUGCAGAGCUGGAAGGGACUCUCUGGAUCAUCGUGUACUAGGGACUCGUAGUGACACUCAAAGCCUGACUGAGAUCUUGGUACCCCUCAUGCAUAUCUGCAUCGCUUGCAUUAGCGGGCUUAUAAUAGGUUAAUCCUCCCACCAAGAUGGAUGUGAGCAGGCUUAACCUGAACUGGUUUCGUCUAUUGCUUUUCCACUCAAGUCCUACACAAUUUCUAGAUGGCCCGGGUACAGUUAGUCUACAGUAAAAUAAAGAGCUUCUGGAUGUAUAGAGUGUUAACAUCAUUAAGCAGUGUAUGUAGAAAAUGCAACCCUCAAAAUGUACAAUGCGCCUUUAUAGUGAGGUUUGAACAGCAGUUUAAGAGUAGUUGUAAAACAAUCAGCCAGAGAAAAUCGCUAGUGCAAUUCCCCUUUGGUGCACCCUGUUUCACAAAAGCAAGCGGGGUAGUACAUUCUUCAUACUUCGGUCUGUGGAAGUUCAUGUGUGUGUGCAUGGGGGAGGAACUAAUGACCAAACUCUGUACUUCUAUUCUACCAUUGCUUGUAUCACUCAAAUCUUAAUUAUAGUACAGUGCAUAUGAAUGGCUAUUUUAAGAUUCAGCCUGCCAGUCUUUUUAAAAAUAUAUUCCUCAUUUAAAAAAACCUGAUACCCAGUUGAACACAGUGCCCUUCAGAUGACUGAAAGAAGCAACAACACUAGAACGAGAAGUAAAGUCUGAAAAGGGCUGGAGGUCAUUGCACUUCCCAUGGUAGUAUAAUGUUCUGCUGCAGGAUCCAGAAUCUACCUGAUUCCAAGAUGUUUCCCAAGGUUCAAAUCCUUCUCUUCAUCUUCUGUGUUUUCCUCUGCCUGAAACCUGGGGCUGCCCUGAAAUGUCGAAAAUUUGAUGAGAACCUAAACUGGCCUGAUCCUCCCCCACGGAGUGGGGAAUGUGAAGCUGAUCCUGCAACACACACCUGCCGUGCCCGAAAGAUAUAUGAUCAAGAAGUGAUUCUUCGUCAAAUCAAAUAUAGCUGUGAAGCAAAGGAAACUGCAUUAUGUGGUGUUGAAUCGCUCUCCCCAACCAGGAAAGGUUCUCGAAUUGAAUUCUACUGCUGUGAGGAUGAAGACUUCUGCAAUGACAGCUUCAGCAAUAACUAACGCCAGUGAAUGCUGAAAAUCGUCUGUAGAUCCUCAUCAGAUAGAUGCUUGUAUCUCUUGUCCAUUUGUCUCUUCUUUCCAUUUUCAAUCCCCUUCCAUAUGCCUGCAUGAUUCCAUAUCUCAUAUGUCUUUAUAUCGCAUGUCUUCCACACCUGUAUGAUUCCAUAGCUGCACAAGUUAGACAAUUAUCACUACAUAAUGCUGUAAGUUCCCAUUAAAAUAUACAUAAAACAUGGAAUUAUGGAAUUAGAAGGGACCUAUAAGGCCAUCAAGUCCACCCUGCUGCUCAGUGUAGGAAUACAAUUUAAAGUAUAUUUGACAGAUGGUUGUCUAAUUUUCUCUUGAAUCCCUCCAGCAUGGGAGCACUCAUCACCUCCCAAUGUAUAGUAAUUGGUUCCAUUGUCGUAUUGCUCUAACAGUUAAGAAGUUUUCUGUGAUAUGCAUUCUAAAUCUGGCUUCCUGUAAGUCAAGUUACAGGAAGCCAGAUUUCAGCUGAAUAUCAGAAAAAAAAAACAUCUUAACUGUUAGAGCAGUAUAACAAUGGAACCAAUUUCUUUGGGAAGUGGCAAGCUCUCCAAUGCUGGAGGCAUUCAAGUGAAAAUUAGACAACUUUCUACAGUGGGGUCUCUACUUAAGAACGUCCCUACUUAAGAACAAUCCAACUUAAGAACAGCUCCAUUUGCUAAAUUUUGCUUCUACUUGAGAACAGAAAUCCAAGAUAAGAACAGGAAAAAAAACCUUUCCUGCUCUUUUUUUAACCUUAGGUCAUCUUAGGUUAAAAAAAAUUCUCCCCCUAGUGGUAGAGUACGUAUUAACCAGCUUUGCAUUAGUUCCUAUGGGAACUAAUGCUUCAAUGUACGAACGCACCUCUACAUAACAAAAAAACAGCCAGAACGGAUUAAUUGGUUUUCAGUCCAUUCCUAUGGGAAAUUUUGCUUCAACUUAAGAACGUUUCAACUUAAGAACACCAUUCCAAAACGGAUUAAGUUCUUAAGUAGAGGUUCCACUGUAGUUUCUAUGGACGGAAAAGAGCAGAUACGGAUUAAAUGGUUUUCAAUGCAUUCCUAUGGGAAAUGCAGAUUCAACAUAAGAACUUUUCAACUUGAGAACCACCUUCCAAUACGGAUUAAGUUCUUAAGUAGAGACCCCACUGUAUUAGAUAUGCUUUUAUUUGAAUUCCUGCAUUGAGCAGGUGAUUGGACUCAAUGGCCUUAUAGGCCCUUUCCAACUUCAUGAUUCUAAAAUAAGUCAAUCAUGACUUGGCUCUCUCUGUGUGUAGGUGUGUGUAAGUGUGAGUGGUGGAGGGGAGUGGCUUACUUUAAAAAUGUAUUGGUGUUGCUUUCUGGAGAUAUCAACUGAUAUUGAAUACUAUCUUACAGGCCCAGCCAGGUGUAUAUAUAAUCUUUAUCUAGUUCUCCUAGGAAAAGGGCAAGCAGGACAUCCUAAGAAAACAAUAAAAGUACUAAAACUACAUUACA